Molecule: ribosomal RNA, 253 nt
Filed under: uncultured bacterium
Lineage: Bacteria
Description: partial 16S ribosomal RNA
Rfam family: Bacterial small subunit ribosomal RNA
Source: RNAcentral
UACGUAGGGUGCAGGCGUUAAUCGGAAUUACUGGGCGUAAAGCGUGCGCAGGCGGUUUGCUAAGACAGGUGUGAAAUCCCCGGGCUUAACCUGGGAACUGCGCUUGUAACUGGCAAGCUAGAGUGUGGCAGAGGGGGGUGGAAUUCCACGUGUAGCAGUGAAAUGCGUAGAGAUGUGGAGGAACACCGACGGCGAAGGCAGCCCCCUGGGCUAACACUGACGCUCAUGCACGAAAGCGUGGGGAGCAAACAGG